GACGAACGCUGGCGGCGUGCCUAAUACAUGCAAGUCGAACGCAGUGGGGACGGGUGAGUAACACGUGGGUAACCUCCCAUCAGAGGGGAUAACACUUGGAAACUGGUGCUAAACCGAUAUGGUUGGAGGGACCCGCGGUGCAUUAACCAGUUCGUGAGGUAACGGCUCACCAAGGCCACGAUGCAUAGCCGGCCUGAGAGGGUGAUCGGCCACACGGGAACGUAGACACGGCCCAGACGCCUACGGGAGGCAGCAGGAGGGAAUCUUCGGCAAUGGACGAAAGUCUGACCGAGCAACGCCGCGUGAUUGAAGAAGGUUUUCGGAUCGUAAAACUCUGUUGUUAGAGAAGCGGUAUCUAACCAGAAAGCCACGGCUAACUACGUGCCAGCAGCCGCGGUAAUUC
RNAcentral lists this ribosomal RNA (403 nucleotides) under uncultured bacterium. Its description in RNAcentral is "partial 16S ribosomal RNA". It matches the Rfam family "Bacterial small subunit ribosomal RNA", at positions 28 to 526 of the family's 1533-position model. The record is from RNAcentral.